ACUCCUACGGGAGGCAGCAGUCGGGAAUAUUGCGCAAUGGAGGAAACUCUGACGCAGUGACGCCGCGUGCAGGAAGAAGGUUUUCGGAUUGUAAACUGCUUUAGACAGGGAAGAAUAAAGACAGUACCUGUAGAAUAAGCUCCGGCUAAUACGUGCCAGCAGCCGCGGUAAU
Molecule: ribosomal RNA, 172 nt
Filed under: uncultured bacterium
Lineage: Bacteria
Description: partial 16S ribosomal RNA
Rfam family: Bacterial small subunit ribosomal RNA
Source: RNAcentral